Molecule: non-coding RNA, 77 nt
Organism: Potamilus streckersoni
Lineage: Eukaryota; Metazoa; Mollusca; Bivalvia; Unionida; Unionidae
Source: the annotation of a GenBank genome assembly
GACCACUCUGGUGGCCUGGUGGUUAGAAUAUCCGCCUCGGAUGCGGGAGGUCUGGGGUUCCAACCCCGGCCAAGUCA